GACGAACGCUGGCGGCGUGCUUAACACAUGCAAGUCGAACGAAGUGGCGAACGGGUGAGUAAUACGUGGGUAACCUGCCCUCCUUUUUGGGAUAAGCCUUGGAAACGGGGUCUAAUACCGCAUAAAGGGGGAUGGGCUCGCGGCCUAUCAGCUUGUUGGUGGGGUGAUGGCCUACCAAGGCGGUGACGGGUAGCCGGCCUGAGAGGGUGACCGGCAACAUGGGGACUGAGAUACGGCCCAGACGAGUACCGGAGGCAACAGUGGGGGAGACUGCACCAGGGGCGAAAGCCUGAUGCAGCGAGGCCGCGUGGGGGUGGAAGGCUUUCGGGUUGUAAACCUCUUUCGCGAUCGAACGGGUAGCUGGAGAAGAAGCGCCGGCUAACUACGUGCCAGCCGCCGCGGUAAUUC
RNAcentral lists this ribosomal RNA (408 nucleotides) under uncultured bacterium. Its description in RNAcentral is "partial 16S ribosomal RNA". It matches the Rfam family "Bacterial small subunit ribosomal RNA", at positions 28 to 526 of the family's 1533-position model. The record is from RNAcentral.